This 253-nucleotide ribosomal RNA is filed under the name uncultured bacterium. RNAcentral describes it as "partial 16S ribosomal RNA". It matches the Rfam family "Bacterial small subunit ribosomal RNA", at positions 524 to 776 of the family's 1533-position model. The record is from RNAcentral.
UACAGAGGAUGCAAGCGUUAUCCGGAAUGAUUGGGCGUAAAGCGUCCGCAGGUGGUUUUGUAAGUCUGCUGUUAAAGCGUUAGGCUCAACCUAAUAAGGGCAGUGGAAACUAUGAGACUAGAGUAUGUUAGGGGUAGAGGGAAUUCCCAGUGUAGCGGUGAAAUGCGUAGAGAUUGGGAAGAACACCGGUGGCGAAAGCGCUCUGCUAGGACAAGACUGACACUGAGGGACGAAAGCUAGGGGAGCGAAUGGG